RNAcentral lists this long non-coding RNA (1877 nucleotides) under Malus domestica (apple). Its description in RNAcentral is "long non-coding RNA (MDOM_LNC006500)". The record is from RNAcentral. Lineage: Eukaryota; Viridiplantae; Streptophyta; Magnoliopsida; Rosales; Rosaceae.
GAAGUUCUCGUGUGAGUUCCCAAAAACAGAACCGUGAGGGCGUAGUCGGGGCCCAAAACGGACAAUAUCGUGCUACGGUGGUGGAGUGUGCCCUGGAAGUGAUCCGUCCCGGGCCGGGAUGUGACAGUUCCUUGCCGAUUUAUCAAAUUUCUUAUUUAUGACCAAAACCGUUCAUAUUAUAAAUCACCCUAUAAAGACCAGUUUUGCAGAAAAUGAAUUAAAACUAAGGCCAUUUAGUCAUCAAAUAGUAUAAAAACAUAUGAACGAAAUUGGUAAAAGUAUUACGAACCGUCUAUGUAUUUGCUACAAUAGAUGGACUAAACGAUCUUGUUUUUAAUUCACUUUUUGCAGAAAUGAUCUUUACAGAGUGAUUCAUAAUUACAGAGUGAUUCAUAAUAAGAAUAGUUUUGAUUAUAAGUACAAAACUUUGUGAUUCGAAUACGAAAAGUUUUAAGUAGGAGUUCAUACUCAUUUUUGAGUAGCUAAACAUUGUUUUUGCAUAGAUGGCUUCAAGACAAAAUCAUAUUAAGGACUUCAAGAUCCUUAAAAGGAGUGGAAAAGAUGCAGAUAUAAAUUUUAUAAUUCAUAAGUGAUUAAUAAAACACAAAGUUUGUACAAAUUAAAGAUUGAAGAUUUUACUUAGUCCAUAUGCAACAUCAACAAGUUCAAUUAGUAAACAAAUAUAUAAACAAGACAAAAGCAAUUGAAUCCACAAUGGCACAUGGCCAUGCAUUUGAAGCAUUACAUUUUGAGGAAAUUGUAGCAAUUGUCUCUCAACUUUAAUUUUAUUGGAAUGGUUUAUGAACUAAAAAUUUAUUACUAUUGGUCAUUUAACUCCACAAAAUGUGCAGUUAUGGUCUUUUUCGUCAACUCCAUCAGAACUUCCAUCAAAAUGAGUAAUGUUAGAAGAAUAAUUGCUACAAUAGGGUUAAAGUUGAGGAUCUAUUGCUCCAAUUGGAUAAAAGUUGACAGACCAUUGCUCUAAUUGGAUUAAAGUUGAGAGACCAUUUAUACAAUUUUCUCAUUUAGGUUUUCAUAUUUGCCUCUUGAUUCAAUCUCACGUACAUUACACAUGACUCAUUUUGACAGAAGUUUUAACGGAGUUGACGAAAUGAUCAUAGUUGCACGUUUUGAUGAGUUGAGGGACAAAUUAUCAUGAAUUUUUAUUUGAGGGAUCAGUGCUAUAAUUUUUUCUUAGAUUUUUAUUUAUUUCUUCUUUUAAAAGGAAAUUAGCUUGCGGCUUCACCAUCAUAAUUUAAUUUUUUGAGGGCUGAAAAGACUUACAAAGACAUUUUAGUCACAUCCUAACCAUUAUUGUGUGAUUUACAGAGGCAUUUAAAGCAUUAGAUUGAACUUUCAUAAACACACUAGAUGUUGAAAUACCAUUUGGGUGGUUUUUGGAGGAGAUUUUUAUAUAGUCCUAACUAAUUCAAGUUAGUGUGGUGAAAUCAUCAUUUUAGAUACAAAUAAAGAUGUUGAAACGCAUGCAAAACAUGAGAUCUCGAGGUGAUCAUCAUUUUUCAUCAUUUUUUAUUUGUGUUGUUAAUGGCGAAGAACCAGUCAUCAUAGAUGACAUGAUAAAGCUUUGCUGAAUGAUAUGUUAUUUGGUUUUAAGGCCUCAAAUUUUUAGGGUAUCAGUGGCAAUUUGAUCCACAAGUGCUCCAUAUCAUUCCGUUUGUGUUGUUCACCUAGACGUUAAAGAGCGUGUGAGAAUGUGAGACAAAUUUCAUAUCAAUAAGGGACCAUGCAAGAACUUAUGUUGAUCUAUUCCUUAUAUUGCCAAUUAAUUUUGGAUAAAUUACAUAAUAACCCAUCAGGUUUGAGGUCUAUUAUAACCUCAUACAACAUCUUUAAAAUAUUUCACUUUCAUACCUUAU